Molecule: ribosomal RNA, 253 nt
Filed under: uncultured bacterium
Lineage: Bacteria
Description: partial 16S ribosomal RNA
Rfam family: Bacterial small subunit ribosomal RNA
Source: RNAcentral
UACGUAGGGCGCAAGCGUUGUCCGGAAUUAUUGGGCGUAAAGAGCUCGUAGGUGGCUUGUCACGUCGGGUGUGAAAGCUUGGGGCUUAACUCCAGGUCUGCAUUCGAUACGGGCUGGCUAGAGGUAGGUAGGGGAGAACGGAAUUCCUGGUGUAGCGGUGAAAUGCGCAGAUAUCAGGAGGAACACCGGUGGCGAAGGCGGUUCUCUGGGCCUCACCUGACGCUGAGGAGCGAAAGCGUGGGGAGCGAACAGG